Molecule: transfer RNA, 74 nt
Filed under: Prototheca wickerhamii
Lineage: Eukaryota; Viridiplantae; Chlorophyta; Trebouxiophyceae; Chlorellales; Chlorellaceae
Description: tRNA-His
Rfam family: tRNA
About the family: Transfer RNA (tRNA) molecules are approximately 80 nucleotides in length. Their secondary structure includes four short double-helical elements and three loops (D, anti-codon, and T loops).
Source: RNAcentral
GGCGGAUAUAACUUAGGUGGUUAAAGUGCUAGACUGUGACUCUUGAAACAUGGGUUCAAAUCCCAUUAUUCGCC